CCCAUUUACUUAUUUGUUUAUCUCUGCUUGAUACGUAACAAUUACAGAAUUGUUUUCUAACAACAAUCGUGGUAUUGGGAAUUAAGCGGGAUUUUCUAAUGAAUGGUUAAGAUGUGAAACGAACGCCUUCGCAACCAACAUAUAAACUAAUGACGAAUGAGCUAAACCAUAUAUAAAUGUCUGACAUUGUAAAAAAAAAUUGUAUGACCUUAAUAGAUAUGUAUAUAAUAUAGCAAGUUCGCUAUGUCUAUAUGAAGACCUUCUUAAUCUGAAAUUGAAUAAUGUCUAGGAAAAUAGCUUUAAAUAUACAUAUAUUAAUUUUGGCAACAUUAAUUUGCUGGCAUGUAGAAGGAAGGCAUAUAUCAGAUGUAAUUACUUUACAUAAAAGACAAAUACAUGGAACGAAAUUCCCUUUCAGAUGUCCACAGGGUGUUAGUCACCAUGACUGUUACGAAAGUAUGCAAAAUCUGAUGUCUGUUUGGAUACGUAGGCUUAUGACUCACCCAGAGAGUUAAGCUGACAAUAGAACUUAAAAAGGAUUAUCAAACAAAGAUAUUGUCGCUUAGAACCGACCUAAACAAAGUGAUUUUGAUUAAAUCAUUCUUUACAGCUUUGUCUUGGAGUUUUUGGGAUUCCAGCAGUAUUACAGAAGUUUAAUUAAAUCGUACAAACAUGUGCUUAUAAGCACUUAUACAACUGAUGUAUAGCGAGAAGUAUGAAAAAUACGACCGCACGUGUAAAUUAUAAAAUUACGACCACACGUGUAAAUUAUUAUAGUACGAUCACACGUGUUAUAUAUUUACUAAUGAUAUAGCAUGGCUGUGAUAUAUGAUUUGUUUCUUGCUAAUCAAUUUUCAGAUAGAUCUCUGGCAACGUCUGAACAUGAUUAUUGGUAGAAUUAUUGUAGAAAAUUUUAUAGAAAACAUUUUCAAAAUGACUUUGAAAUAAGCUUAACAAGCAUUAACUGAGAUUGUAUUUUCAGAACUAAUUUUAAUUGUUAAUACUGUUGAUACAUGAAGAAGACUUCAUAAGUAUGAUUUACUUGUGUCUCAUCUACUUUGCUUCAAUUUAGCUAAUAAAAUAUGUUUAAACUACUAG
Molecule: long non-coding RNA, 1098 nt
Organism: Mytilus californianus (California mussel)
Lineage: Eukaryota; Metazoa; Mollusca; Bivalvia; Mytilida; Mytilidae
Exons: 2
Source: RefSeq, a predicted model, not a curated record